GGUUUGUUUGAUUGUUGAAUUUGUAAUUGUUUGAUUUAUAUUUUUUGUAUGCCUGAAAUGAGACUAGUUUGUGCUGAAAAUUGGUGAGGGUUCAAAAAUGUUCUCGAAUCCUAAAGAUGAACUCAAAUGAAGAUAGUUCUCAAAAAAGUUUACUGGGCUACGCACCAAUACGUAAGAGGCAAAAAAGGGGACUGACUUUGGAAGCGUGGAAUCGGAAGCCACCUCUGAGGUUCCGAAAUGUCCAGAACCUAGUCAAUUUUUAUCGAGAUCGAACAGCAUUUUGAAACCACUUCUGAUAAGAAAUGAUCAGCCUUUUGGAAGGGAUGUGAGUAACUAUGAAGAGCCACCGAUCUUUCCAAAUAUACCGAUAUCAGGUGAAACACACUAAGGCAAUCUACAUUUAUGUUAAAAAAUGGUACAUGGUCUUCAUUGUUCAAUAAUUUUUGUUGGAAAUACUGAUAAUUUAAAAAGAAUCUGACACAACAUACUGUAGUGAACACCGCCAGCUUACCGCAGAUUCUACGAGAUAUAUAUUUUUUAAACUUCUUCGAAAUCUUAUAAUUUUUUACUAAAAAUGCCGUCUACUUUCUACGGUUGAAAUUAGUGUUAGCGAUGAGCUCCCGAUGUUUGCGAAAAUCACCGAAAUUUUAAUUUAUCAUCGAACAGACAAUGUGAUAUUUUCUUGUGAUAUGUAUAAAACAAUAUUAUGCUACAAAAAUUGUUUCGCUUAUGAGGGUGUGAAGUGUAAAGAAGGUCAGUUUGUUAAGUAAAUAGAUUUGCACAAGUACCAUCCUAUACUUAUGCACAAACAUUAUAAUGGAAAAAUAUACGUCAUUACGGACUGCGUAAAAUAAGAUUGUAUUAUAAUUUAAAU
Belonocnema kinseyi is the source of this 874-nucleotide long non-coding RNA. RefSeq lists it as uncharacterized. The record is from RefSeq and is a predicted model, not a curated record. NCBI's taxonomy places the organism in Eukaryota, Metazoa, Arthropoda, Insecta, Hymenoptera, Cynipidae. The transcript has 3 exons.